This 66-nucleotide transfer RNA is filed under the name Stegodyphus mimosarum. It matches the Rfam family "tRNA". From Rfam's summary of the family: Transfer RNA (tRNA) molecules are approximately 80 nucleotides in length. The record is from Rfam by way of RNAcentral. Lineage: Eukaryota; Metazoa; Arthropoda; Arachnida; Araneae; Eresidae.
GCCUUCGUGGUGUAAUGGUAACACACUCGGCGUGUAGAGGUCUAAGUUCGAGUCUCGGCGAGGGCG